This 515-nucleotide ribosomal RNA is filed under the name uncultured chicken cecal bacterium. RNAcentral describes it as "bacterial SSU rRNA". It matches the Rfam family "Bacterial small subunit ribosomal RNA", at positions 8 to 521 of the family's 1533-position model. The record is from RNAcentral.
AGAGUUUGAUCCUGGCUCAGGAUGAACGCUGGCGGCGUGCUUAACACAUGCAAGUCGAACGAAGCACCCUCACGGAUUUUCUUCGGAACUGAAGUGAUCGUGACUGAGUGGCGGACGGGUGAGUAACGCGUGGGUAACCUGCCCCAUACAGGGGGAUAACAGCCGGAAACGGCUGCUAAUACCGCAUAAGCGCACGGUGCCGCAUGGCACAGUGUGAAAAACUCCGGUGGUAUGGGAUGGACCCGCGUCUGAUUAGCCAGUUGGUGGGGUAACGGCCCACCAAAGCGACGAUCAGUAGCCGGCCUGAGAGGGCGACCGGCCACAUUGGGACUGAGACACGGCCCAGACUCCUACGGGAGGCAGCAGUGGGGAAUAUUGCACAAUGGGGGAAACCCUGAUGCAGCGACGCCGCGUGAGCGAAGAAGUAUUUCGGUAUGUAAAGCUCUAUCAGCAGGGAAGAAAAUGACGGUACCUGACUAAGAAGCUCCGGCUAAAUACGUGCCAGCAGCCGCGGU